GCGAGCAUUAGGCAGUCAAACACUGCAUAUCUCUUAAGGAAAAGCUACUUAGAAUUGCCCUUUAGAGAGUGGUAAAUGUAACCUUUGUGUUUAUCAUACUGUGGCAUAGUAGGGUGGACUCUGACUACUGUUUCCCUCUCUUGUUGCAGGUGUGCAUUAUACUGCUGCUGUCUUGUCAGAUGCCGUUUUGUUUGUUAUGCACUACUUUUAUAACGUAUAGUGAUUUGGGAUGUGUUGGUUUUAUGUAGAUCUUUUGAUUGUUU
Long non-coding RNA from Oreochromis aureus, 263 nucleotides. RefSeq lists it as uncharacterized. The transcript is spliced from 3 exons. The record is from RefSeq and is a predicted model, not a curated record. NCBI's taxonomy places the organism in Eukaryota, Metazoa, Chordata, Actinopteri, Cichliformes, Cichlidae.